CUACGGGUCGCUGCAGUGGGGAAUAUUGCACAAUGGACGGAAGCCUGAUGCAGCCAUACCGCGUGUGUGAAGAAGGCCUUAGAGUUGUAAAGCACUUUCAGUCGUGAGGAAAGGGUGAUGGUUAAUACCCAUUAUCUGUGACGUUAGCGACAGAAGAAGCACCGGCUAAUUCCGUGCCAGCAGCCGCGGUAAUACGGAAGGUGCGAGCGUUAAUCGGAAUGACUGGGCGUAAAGCGCGCGUAGGUGGUUCAGUCAGUCAGAUGUGAAAGCCCCGGGCUCAACCUGGGAACUGCACCUGAUACUGCUGGACUUGAGUACGGUAGAGGGUAGUGGAAUUUCCUGUGUAGCGGUGAAAUGCGUAGAUAUAGGAAGGAACACCAGUGGCGAAGGCGACUACCUGGACCGAUACUGACACUGAGGUGCGAAAGCGUGGGGAGCAAACAGGAUUAGAUACCCUAGUAGUC
RNAcentral lists this ribosomal RNA (464 nucleotides) under uncultured bacterium. RNAcentral's name for it is "partial 16S ribosomal RNA". It matches the Rfam family "Bacterial small subunit ribosomal RNA", at positions 339 to 795 of the family's 1533-position model. The record is from RNAcentral.